UUUGAGUAGGUUUUUAUUGAAUAUGCUUUUGUUGAAACCAUAUGGCUGACCCAUGUUUUAAGAAAGCUGCUCUAAAAUAUGUGUUUAGUGCAAAUUUUUAUUUAUUAAUGUUAAUUGUACAUAAUAUAAUAUCCUGCCUUGGAGCAAUUUGCUAUAGUUGAUAAACAAAGUUUAUUAUUGAGUUACCCGCUUGGUAGUCCAUGUGAAACUCACAAAGGCAUGGCAGUAGGUGAUAUGGCUUUUAUUCGUAGAGCUUUUGCUGGUAGAGCUUUUGUUAGUAAAGUUUUUAGUAAAAGAAUGUUACUCUUUGGUAACUAUGUUUUUAAAAUACUUUGAAGUUUUAACAUGUAUCUGAUAACCAAAUUGAGGAAGUACUUUUAGUAUCAAAAAAUGAUAAUAAAUGAUAUUGCAUAAUGCUUUCAAUUAUCUAAUUGUUUAUAUUAUUAAAUACGCUUAAUUUAUAAUAUAACAAUAUUUUAUAAUAUUAUUAAAUAAUAUUAUAUUUUUAUAUUAUGAUUAUUAUAAUAUAAUGAUAUGAUAUAAUAAUAAUAUAAUUUAAUAAUAUAAUUUAAUAAUAUAAUUUAAUAAUAUAAUAUAAUAAUAUAAUAUAAAUAUUAUAUUAGUAUAUCAUAUUGCAUAGUUAUUAUUAUCAAAAAUUAUUAUUAUAAAGUAUUGUUAAUUUAUAAAUAAUUUUUAUAUUUUAAUCUAAAUAAUAUAAUAAAUAAUGUAAUUAUUUUUUUAUGGGUGAUUGCCAAAUAAAGUAGAAUAUCCUAAUGGCAAACUAGGUAGUUCUUGAUUCUAAUAGCAAUAUAAAUCUUUGACUUUGUUCAUCCAGAUACAAAAUGGCAAUAAAAUUGUUUAUAUAUCCACAAUCAUAAUAGCAACAUAAAUGUUUACUAGCAUUUCUUAAUAUCCAUGUUACAAGCAUAAAAGACACCAAUUUAAAUGAUUACAGCAAUAAAAAUAUUUUAAAUUGAUUUUUUUAAAAAAAAUCCAUGUCUCUCGGGUAAGCUUUUGCCCAAAAAACUGCUUUCCAAUGCGUCUCAAGUAGAAGUUUUGCCUAAAAGCUCCAAAUUAGAGCCCUAAUAUGGACCUUUUUCAACUUUUGGAUGAGCUGGAAAGCUAGUUCAAUAUUUUUAUGGAACAUCUUAAAAUCGCUCAAAAGAGCUUUGACCUUCCAAAAAGCAUUUUGUGGCCCUCCAAGAUCAAUGCCAAACGGAGCCAUAAUAAUAUAUAACCUUCUCCCUUCAAAUGAACUAUCUGUCCUUUCCUCCAACUCAGCCAAUACUGUUCAAGAAUCUUGUAGAUAAUUAAAUAAUAAAGAGGAAUGCUUCUAGAUGUUGAUCAAGAUUGCAAUACGAUGAAACUUGAGGAAGUAUCGGGAAUGUAUAAACUAUCUAAAUAGAGCACAAAGCCUGAUAGGUAAUGUAACUAUGUACCACAUGAUAGAUAGUGAAGUUGUUUACUCAUAAUAAGUAAAACACCACACAAAGAAGUGUAUAUGGAGAGUCUAUGCACAUAUGUUAUAAAAUGCAUACUAUGCGCAGAGUCAUGUCUCAGAUGAAUGUCUAUAAACAUCUCAAGUAUGUUUGUGUUAUUAUGUAAUAGAAAGUAGGCUGACAUUUUCCGCUUUAAAAAGUGGUUUAUAACUUUAGGCCUUUACUUUGCAACACUUAAAUAUUUCUGCUCCUACAAUAGAUGAAUACUUAUUUGGUUCUUGUCCUAGUGUGAUAAGAAGUCCAUUCUCCAAAUAGUUAACUAUCAUAUACUAUAUUUUGUGUCACAUCUUUUUAUUUUGAAUUUAUAGCUGAUCUACCAACAUGUAAGGAUGAUUUCCCUUGAAUCUUUAUUAUAAUUUGAAUUUUGUAGUAGGCUUCGUCACCUUACUAAAAUUUUAUCGUCUUUUUUUUUUGCUGGCAAGGGGCAUCUAGUGAGAAAAUGUUUUCAUAAAAUUCCUUGUCGACUUUUCUAUUAAUGAAAGAAAUCAUAUUGCCAUUGAAGUAGUUUCUUGUCCUCUAUGACUCGCCAUCCCCCUUCUACCUGGGUAAGUGGUGCUCUUCACCCCUUUCACCAUCAUUUCCCUUUUCUGGAUGUCACCUUGUUAUGUCCAUGUAAAUUGUUAACUUGAUGCUGAGGGUGCCAACUACCAUAUUGGCAAAUUCUCUUGUGGUUGCUGCAAGAGACCUGGGUUCGAUGCUGCCUUCACCCUGAUUCAACUGGGUUUCCACCUUCCCUUUUGUCAGUACUUUUUUCAAGCAUUAAAUUUUGUUCAUCCUUUGAAUUCAGCAGUGAAAGCCUCCAUAUCCUCUCCUCAAUCUAAUUUCCAUAUUCUAUCCCCAAGUUUUGGUAGUCAUAUGAGGAAGAUCCUUUUUUUGUAAUUUUUGCGGGUUGCUUGUUAGAACUAUUUAUGGAGCAUUAAUAUCAUUAAUAAUUCAUGGAACAUUCACAUGCUUUCUAACAUAUAGUUCUCUUCUCAGGGCAUGCAGAAACUCUAGUCUUUGAUGUUCUAAAAUUUGAGUGGUCUGUUUCAGUUAUUUCACCUGGUGCUUCUGUUACUACCAACAAAGUGAGUUUGCUAAUAAUUUUUUCCAUUGCCUUUAUUUCGACUUUUUACAGUCAUGUGUCUAUUGCCAUUCAUCAGUUUUAUGAUGAUAGUUCUGUAGUUUUCCUUACCUAUGAUGUCAUUCUAAAUAUUUAAUCAGAAAUUCUGAAAAUUUCUAGAAGAAUAUCUUAACUUCCUGUGUCAUUAUGGUUUCUAUUGAUACUUUUCUUCAUGGCAUCAAUAUUCUGUAUGCGAAAGUUACCGUAAUGGGUUUCAAGUUGCUAGUACUGUUGAUUCUGUGCAGAUUUUUUCUUAAUUUGUUGAACAUGAAAACAAGCCCGUAGGUUUUGUUUAUCUUAAUAGUGGAAAUCUGAAAUGGAAAGCUGAUGCAAGUAAUUUAUUUUAUUAAUUUAAUUUUUUAAUAUGAAUCUGGUAUAAUUGGUUGAUCCCAGUUGCUUGACUUGGAAGGGCCUUUGGGUUAAUCGGUAGAGUAGAAGCAAGCGAGGGGAGAGGGGAGUCUAGGGGAAGAAAGAACGAAGAGGAAAGGAGAGGAGAGUAAUUAAGGCUUAUGUAGUGUUAUAAUUGGCCAGGCCAACUCAGGAUCAUUUCUAGCCCUAGUUUUGUAGGAUAAUAUCUUUAUCGCAGUUCAGAUUUGUUCUAUAAUGGCAGCAGCCAGCAGGUAUGAAGAAGUGAAAACUAGAAGAAAGGUGAAAGGGCUGGAAAAAAGACAAGAAGACAAAAGGAGUAAAGGUAGAGAAACAUGGUUUACUUAUUUCACUAAUGAUUAUUGAAGUUUCUUCACCUUACCCAGCCAGACUUUCUUAUGUCUAAUGAGGUCAAUUACAGGUUGUAUAGUUGGACUGCAGCGAGGAUAUUUCCCAGAAAAAGAAAUGUAAAUCAUGUAACUGUUUGACUAAGCAACUAGAUCAUCUAAAACCGUCAUGCAAAGAGAACUAGUUGGCUGUGAUUUCUUUUUUCCCCCUCAAGAAAGGUUAGAAAUCCUGUUUCUUUUUUUCUACAAUGGCAAAGAGGUGGUUUAUUUCUGAGCACUAUUAGGCCAGAUCAGACAUUCGUAGUAGCCCAUGAUCUGGGCGCUGGUCCCUUACUAGCUAACUGCCUUAGUGCACCUCCAAAAAUCUAGCCAUGACUUAAUGAUUCUUACUCUUGUGAUGGAACCUUUCUGUGCACCUUUUGUCUUAGCCAUAUGAAAGAAGCUCAGUGCAAGAAGUUCUAUUAUCCAGGCAUGGUGGAUUUCUGCAGCCCUUUUGGUAGGUGGCAUUGUAUUGAAUACUCAGGAUGUUCGUUGCGUAAAGAGAUUCAUAUGGGUACCUUCCUGAUAUAGUGAAGGUUACAUGCAUUAUCAGUGUGUGCCUGCCAUGGGUAAAUGAAACGAUUCCUUCUAGUCUUUUAACAAUUCAUACUUUCUCCUUAUCCAUUGCAUGACCUUGCAUGCAUGUGAAUUGCAUGAGCAUGCAUGUUUCAUUGUUUCACAAUGAAGUCGUGAAAACCUCAUUGAGAAAAAGCAUGAAACAUAAAAUGGUUGCUUAGAUAGAUACAAUUGGAUAUGUUGUCAUUAACACCUCAAGCUAGGGUAGAAAGAAGACAAAUUUACUAAUUUACUAUCAUUUAGGCACUAUUGAGCAGAAGAUAGUUAUGAAAACUCAAAUAUAUACUUUUUUUUACUUCUUCAUAUCUCUUACUGAUUAUAUAGCAGACAAGUUUGAUGGAGACAGCAUUUUAGCACAAGUUGUGGUCGAGUGGAGACAUAAUUUUCUCAUUAAAUACUUAAUUUUUUAAGUGCAUUAAUUUUAACAUGUCAUAUGAUACUUCGGCUGCAUUUCAAAUGUCAUGUGUGUAGUAUAUAACUAAUUAUUGCUUCAUGGGAAAGAAUACCAAAUAAUCUGCUGCAAUUAUAUUUUUAUACAUUUCAGACAUAAGUUAAACCUUUGGUGCUUGCUUUUUUUGAAAGAAUUGCUAAAGAAUCUGCUGUUGAACAGGGGUUCAGUGUAGUUCCUGUGCAUUACAAAGACAAGAUUUUUCUUGUUGCUUUUGGAGGAUAUAAGAAAGAGCCAUCAAAUCAGGUUAAGAGAUAAGCACAUAACUAUGAUAUGGUCAUUUAUAUUCUUCCUGUGCGCAACAAUACUUAUAUCCAUUCUGGGUUGUACAGGUUGAAAUAUUGGUCUUGUUCAAGAAUGAACAUUCAAUGAGCUGGCGAUCUGCCCCAGAUACAGAUCCAUUGUCAUAUGAAGAUUGCCCUGCAAGUACCAAAGAUCUUGGUGCCCAUCUUAACAAUGCUGCCCCCCCUUGUUCUGUUGAUCCUGUUGGCAGGCACAGUCUAGCAUCUGCAGUGGAGCAGCAUGCAUCUGGCAGGAAAUCUCUCUCAGAUUCAUCCAUUGAUCCACAUUCUGUUGGUAAUGUAUUACUCCGUAAGCAAUUCCACCAUGAAGAAGAUUACAAUUUAGCUCUUAAGAUGCAGAAAUCUCCCAGAGAUGACAAAUACAAGGAGCGUUGUGACUACUUGUUGAGUAAUCCUUCCUCACAAGUAAGUAAUUUGAGUACUUCAAUAUACAAUUCUGUAGCAGAUAUUAUGAUUCAUGAAUGUUUUGUUUUCGGCAUCCUGUGUAACAUUCAGCUUGCACAUGGGCCAUAGUUAUGCUCAUUGCACUGAGAACAGCGCAGUGGAUUCUUUAUCGAACUUUGUUAAAAUCUUCCAUCUUAAUAGAAUUUAGUUGUACCAGAAGAUCCUUACGCCAGUAGUCAAAGGCAUGCUUGGCAUAACCAUGUAGAUAGAUACAAUAGUAAUUGUGUGAAGGCUGAUCGCAAGUAUAACUCUUUAAUGGGCUUGGAAUGGUACUUCAAGAUGAUCUGUUUAUGUGCAAUACAUGAUUUCUAGCACAGUGACCAUAAGAAAGAUAAUAGACAGAAGGCAUAUAUUUUGUUUAUCUUGUUCAUAGAUCUCUUGUUUCUAGCUCAAAAUGCUUAAUAUUGUGCUUGGACAAUGAAUUGUCUCUUUUUUAAGAUAUUACAUGGGUGAUUCUCAUAUUUAACCGUUGAGUUUUGAUUUUUUUUUUUUUGGUGAAUUGACUUUUGAUGUUUCACUCAUUACAUCUUGUAUAGAUUGGCAAUCAACUUCUACAUAUUUAGUUCAAUCAAUAAAAGCAAGGUUUUUUCCUCUCUCUUUUUUGAUGCAUCGCAUCUUGGUUGUCACAGAGCUUUUUCAAUGCUUUUCCAGCUUUUAUGAGCCAAUUUAAUGUAUUGCCUCUCAGCGUAUGCUCUUAUGAAACUCUUUCUUUUCACCAUGUGAUAAGCGCUGUCACCUAAAAUGAACGAUAAUCUAAUAUAAAUCUUUGAUAUUGGAGAUUCAGGUUAGCCACCCUCAAAUUAAAUUAUAAUGUUAAGCUCAUUAGCAUGCUUGAAAACAAGGCCUUUACUAGGAGCGCUUCUAAAUUCAUCUGUUAUCAGUCUGAAACCAAGUGUCGUUAUGGAUUGCUGACUGAAGCUAACCUACAUGGUUUAUUUAGUGUAUAUAUCAGUAAUGUUUUUCCUGCUCAUUUGUUUACUCAUUUAAUUUGUUGGUAGUAUUGUAUUAACACUAAGUCUUUUUGCAUGUUUUGAGAAUAUUAAAAGCAUUCUUUUGAAAAUGAUUGGGAGAUUUUUGGGUUGUUGAGAGAUUUUUGAGGGCAAAUGAGAAGAGGCUUUGUGGAGUAGAUUGGGCCUCGUGAGGAGUAGAUUUGUGAUGAUUGAACUUGGGUUUCUGAAGUUUAAACUAAAUUUUUCCGUGGGGUGUCAAGUUCCAAAUCCGAAAGUUAAAACAUAUUUUAAAUUCCUCACCUAUAAUCUCUUCGUAGAUAAAUCAUUUCUCUAUGCAAAUCUUAUGGAAGUGGAACCACUGUUAUGUUUUGAAGUUUAAUAGAAGAUCUUCUAAUGCUCAAUGAAAAAUAUGGAUUUUAAUGUCUAUUAGUUAUUUAGAUUCUUGUUUGUAAAUUGACAUCAAGUAGUUGAAUAAAUAAUUAUAUGCUAAAAUGAUGUGAAAUAGACAUCCAAAUUUUCAUUUUAUUUUAUAAGCUACAACACGAUAUACGCACCCAAAAUUCCUAAGCACCGCAAUUUGCUCCUUUUCUAACUUGUUUUGCUUUAUUCAUCUUCAUUUUCUAUAUGUUCUAAUUGUCUAAUCUUUUUUAAUCUUACUAUCAUAAUCUGUUGUACUGCCCUGUACCACCCAAUAUGGGAUAUAUUAUACCAUACUGGGUAGGAACUAGUACGAAACUCACGUUCGGAUAGGUACAGGCUCUGUACCAUCCCAUACUACUUUGUACCGAAGUGUACCGCUCGAUAUUGAGGCGUACCAAAAAGUAUAUCGAGGCAAAUCGAGGUGUAUACCAACUCGUACCGAGGCAUAUUGAGAUAAAAAAUGGGAAAAAUAGUUAGAGAGAUGUUUCGGUGUGGGGUGCACGAUACCAUACCGAUUGUACUGUACCAAACUAGAAAAGCACCGAUAUGAUGCCCAGUACCGAGAUUGUGGACCAUGUUUACUCCAUAUUGACAUUUUACGUUGUGUAAAAAAUUUGAAAGUCAAGAAGUAACUACCGAGAUGGUGAAACUACAAAACCAGAAGUUAGUUGAACCUGGCCAUAAUUGAAACUGAAAUUGCAUUUUUGAACCUUGGUUACGGUUCAACAAAUAGCUGCCUAACAAGUACUUUUGGGACCUGUUGGACUUAUUGAAAUUGUAAUAUUUGGCUGUGUAAUUGUUAAAUAUAAAAACAUCCUGACAAGUAUCAUUUCUCUUCCUAGAACUGUUAGUACUUCCUCUCUCAAUAAAGCUGGAUCAAAUUAUCAAUUAGUUUAGCUUCUGACAUCCCGUUCUCAUUGAAUAAAUUGGUCUCAUACUUGUUGGGAGAAAGCCAUUCACUUUUAAGGAAAGUGUCAUAAAUUUUCCAGAAUAAUAUAGCUGAUUAAUUUCCAUUUGGAAACGUCUGAAUGAUAGUCAUUGCAUCAGUGCCACUGCCUCUUUGAUUUCUCCCUGUCCUUGUAGUAUAUGAAAAGUACAAAAUGAUAUUGAAUGCUCCUUUAUGGAAAGCCUCUGGAAUUUAUUGAGCUAUGCAUUCUUAUUCAAGUAAGCAUGUUCAGUUACUAAUGUUUCAAAAUUUGUUGAACUACGCAUUCUUAUUCAGGUCGGUAUGUUCAGUUAGUGUUGUUUUAUAUCUUCACCCGCUUCUAGGAAGUCUACUUUUUGGAAUGUCAUCUGUGUAGAAGAUCUCCUUUUCUUAAAUAAAAAUUCUUGUUGAUCCUUUGUUGCAAAUAUUAUACUUGUGGUUGGAUGUGAUUAUGGUUUACUUUGUGAUACUGUGAGAACAUAUCCAUUACAGUUCUUGCCAUGUCUCACUUCACAAAAAAUUCCCGUCCUUGAUAGAGUUUUUGAUUUGUUCUUUUGUCUCAUAAAUGCAAAAAAUUUGAAGUUCAUGCAUCCUCUUACUGCUAUAAAAUUGUUUUCAGGCAAUGGAGCAGAGAAGUAAGAAACAAGAAACUGCAAUCCAGAUGGAUAUUGCUGGAAUUCUAGCUAGCACAGAAGAAAACCUAUUCGACUCUGAAAGCUCGAACCUGUAUCAGAAGCAGGGGAAUAACAAUCUUAUGUCUGAUAGCAAUCAUAUUGCACCUCCAGAAACUGAAAAUAGAUCGAUGCUAACAAAUCCUUCCAAUAUAUAUCAACUGUAUGAAACCAAAAUAGUAACCUUGACUAGAAAAAACGUCUUGCUAGAAGAGCAGUUGAAUGUUGCAAUGGCAAGCCAGGAAGCUACGGAGAAGAACUUAUCUUCUGCUAUUAAGAGUAGGCAGGACAUGGAGAAAAAAAUUGCUGAUGCAAUGAAAGAGGUUGAGCUGCUGAAAGAGAAGCUGGCAAGUGUGGAGUUAGCUCAAGAAGAGGCAAAUAGUCUCUCAAAUAUGGUCCACUCUGAUAAUGUACGGCUUGAACAUGAUGUGGCAUUCUUAAAAGCGGUUUUGGAUGAUACCCAAAAGGUAAGUGCACUUUUAUUUGACUUAGCAUCAGUCACUUACGCCUUCCCUAUUAUGCUUGAUUGAGGAGCCUCUCUGUGACCCAGGAGCUGCAUUCGACCCGGGGGGUUCUAGCUGGAGAAAGGGCAAGAGCAUUCCAGCUCCAGGUAGAGCUGUUAUUUUUCAUCUAAAGUUGCCUAGUAUGGAGGGAACUUAAUCGAUAAUAUUCAUAUUAAUUUGUAGGUGGAAGUCUUUCAUCUGAAGCAAAGAUUGCAGUCUAUGGAGAACAGGGCACCAACACCAAGAAAACCUUUCCACAUGUAGAGAACAGAAUCUUUUCCCCGCAGAAUGUCAGACUUUCUUUUUCAUUGGACUUUUCAACUGGCACUUGUAUCUUGGUUCACCGUAGACUAUGUUCUUUGCCUGUACAGAGUAAAUUUGUAAGCUACUUAGCAUAUCAAGGUGUAAUUGUAUCAUGUAAAUUUUUAAACUAGCAACUCGUUACCUUGUCAAUAUUCUGGGGGACUGCAAUGUUAAUCCUCGACUAAUUAGGAUGAUUCUGGCCCAUUUCAUUGUGGCAGAAGUUUGUAAGGAACUCUGAUGCGUUCUUUUGCUUAUAUGAGUGUGCUGUCUUUUGCUUAUAUGAGUGUGCUGUCGAGCUUUUUCUUCAUAAUGUGUCAGCAAGCUACCAUGAAAAUUUAUUGCACUGCUGUCGAUCCCCAGUCAAUCUUUAGCUCUCAAAUAUAGAUGAACUGCCUAAUCACAAGAAAGGUAGAGGUUGUAUCACCCAACUGGUUUUCUUUUCUAAGAUACAUGAACUCCCUGGCUCAUGAUAUCUGUUCGAUCCGCCCUCUUCUUUGCACAACCCGACUGGUCAAAGCGAAUCAUGCUGGAAUGGUCUUGGUAAGUGCUGAGGGAAGCUGUAGUAGUAGAUGAGCGGUGGUAUAGCAUGCUUUCAGAGUGGCAAAUGAAGCUGCAGAUUGAAUACCUUUGAAGAUGACUAGUCAUUCUUGGGGCACUUCAGAGAGGAGCUAACUAUAUAGAACUUUGAUUUUAUUAAAUAUAUCAAUAUUUGAUUUUAUUGAAUAUAUCAAUAUUAGAAUUGUAUGAAUCAUUUGUUUUAGCAAAUAAUAAUAAUAAUAAUAAAUUAAUAGGAAGAAUAUUUGGCCACACUAUACUAUUGCUCUUUGGAGACUAUACUAUUGCUCUUUGGAGUCGGACCGAGUUCUGAGCGGUUCUGCAGACCAAAGCUUUUCAUAUUAAAUUGCAAAAAAAACUCCGGCUGCCCAACUUGGUCCAGUUAGAUUGAUGAACAACUAAUAAUUUUGAUCUCACAAUCCUAACACUCGAUCCAGCUGCAUCAUUCUUUAGAAUUCUUGAAGCCAACGUUGAGGUGCCAAUGUGUACAAAGUCCUGAUGCUGGUAAUGGAGCCACACUGAUAGACAUCGGAUUUUAUUUCCGAGGUGAAGAAAUUAUUGUUAGCACCACAGAAACAUCAUUUCCUUUUGAGUAGGUAAGCGCACAAGCUGCUUGUGCCAAUUCUUAUUUGAUUAAAAAUAUGGUGUCAAUUCCUCUAGUUAGAGGUUCAUCAAACGAGAUAAGCUGGCAGCAAUCUACGGGCGGAAGGAAAAUAGCUAAGAAAGAAAUCAGUAAAAGUUCUGCAUUAUCUCAAUAAAGCUUGUGCGCAUCAGGGUUAAACAUGACUUAAAACGCCUAUAAGCUAAUGCCAUGUUGACACGACACUGACAGAUUACUCGAUAAUUAAAAUCAUCACACCAAGAACACAUCGCCUGCACAUUGAAGAGGAUUCAAAGUUGAAACUUUCAGGAUGACCCCUCAACUGUCAUCCUGUUGACCUACUUCAAAACCCAAGCCUCCAAUUGACAUCCAUAUUGUAUAUGCGAUAAAUGCUGAGGUUAUUGUUCUCCUAACCAUUUUGAUAACAAUUUGAUCAUGUGUCUAUAUAUCAUUGGCCAAAACUCUGCUUUCAACUACAUACAUAAUUAUGGAAAAAACAAAGACGAAAACUUACAGUAGCUUCCUCAGCAAAUCUUUUCACGUCUACAAAGGACAAUCCUGACAAUUAAUGGUGCAUCUAUCUGAUCACUUACGGUUGUGAAAAUCAAAAUAAUUGGCCUCAUCAUAAGUGCUCAGUGUUUCUAAUAAUAACUUAAAACAUUGCGCCAACGGUCACUUUUUUUCUGUUAGUAGUAAAAACUACUGAUAUUGCUGCAAGUGACCAUCCCACAAAAGCCUUGAAAGACAACUGGAAGCAGAGAUAGCAUAACAAUGAAUUUCUUUUCUUAUAUUGCUGUGUCCUUCCCAGAUGCAGUAGGGUUUGCAUGUUUUGUUAGGUGAGGCAGCUCGAGCUACUGACAUAGCCUGCACAAAGUACCCACGAGUUUUUAAUCUUUGCAUACUAUGGCAGCUCAGCUUAUUGAUCACCUUCAGCCUCCUCAGUAUCAUUUUCUUCUCUCUUCGAGUGCACCUGGAUCCAUUCCCUGCACAAGCAGAAACGCAUUUGUACAAUAUCUUGAUAUUAUCUGAGCAUCAAAUUCUAUUGAUUUCCAAAAGUUUGAUACUUAUAUAUGCGCUUCCAAAGAGAAAAAAAUUGCACACAUCCUUGUCGUUCAAUAACAUCCUUCAAACAAAGACUAACCUUACCAUUUUAUCUUGCCAUCUUACAUACAUACGUACAUAAACACAUGUACAUAUUAGCCAAACUAACAUUCAAAUGAUGGAAAUGAAGCCAAAACGGGAAGAGUAUAUAUACAUGCAAAUUUUAGAGUUUUGGAUGGGCACAUAUGCAUUUAUCUACCUUUAAAAGGGUAAAUACAUUUAUCUAUCUCGUGCAUGUGAAACUGGUCAGAGAUCUAACAUUAAAAGGACACCUUGAGAGAGUUGCUCUUCCUAUUUGAUUGUUUGGAAAUGGUCCAGUGAAGCAGUACCCCAAAGCAGCCUCAUAAUGCGAACGACCAUCUGAGAGCAUAUUUGAUGGUGCAAAUACUUAGAGCCAACUUGACGUGGAGAGGGUCAUCUGCUCAAUCUUUAAGAUAUCUCUCAACUAGUGAUAUGGCAUCUUUAUUUCAUCCCUCAACAACAUGUAACUCAGCCAAUGCUAGAGCAGCUCCAAAAUGUAAUUCUUGCAAAGGUUCCUCUUACCUAUAAUUGGAUAGGAUCUUGGUCAGAAUUUAUACUCGCCUCCUCUUAUAGGUCUUUAGUUUUGAGAUGAUACUUGGACUCAGUAUGACCUUUGGGUGGGUUGGAUUAGGUCGAGACUUAACCCUAACCAACUUAAUCACCAUAUCUCCCAAUGCUAAUCCAGUCCAACCCUAUCUUAAGCUAAAUUUCGAUUGUGUCGAAUUAAUUGAGUAAUCUUAGAUUUUAAAGGUAAUUUUUGAUCGAAAGAAUGUCCUGAAUAAUAUUGAUACAGUUAGUGUUGGAAUGAUAGAUAUCUUAUUUAAAAGCACUUACACAGGUCUAUAACUCAAUAAGAUUAAAGAUAUACCAAAUGAGAUGCACAUACGUAAAGGUUGCGACAUGGCUCAAUAAUGUCACUAAUGACUAAAGGCUCAAUACGUAUCUGGUUAAGAGUUCUGAAGACAUGAAGGAUAUUUUGGAACAUACCGUCCAACAGGAAAAAACUUGAAAGCAAAGUAUCAACAUAAUACAGUCAGCAAAAGAAUAAGAAGAUCAGAAGUGCACAAACAAUGAAAAAUUACAAGGACAUUAAGGACUCUCAUCCUCAAGCACAAUUUAAUGAAACCAUCAGAGCUGAAUUUGCGAUGAUUAGACACCUGAUAUAUGCACAUUUAAGAAGCCCAAGUUACUCAAUUAGAAUAACACUAAAGAAGCCAGAGUGAUGGUGUUCGGGCAAUAACCAACAUGAAAGAAGGAAACUAUCUGAAAGUGUUUUCAUAGAAUAUAUCAAUAGGGUAGUUAAGGAAGGUCAAUCAUAUAGCUAGCAAUUGGAAAAGCAUACUAUUCAACUAUAGCAACUAUCAAGACAAGCAAUUCUCCACUUCACACUACUCUUCGCUCUUCAACAUUCCCUUUCCUGAUCUUUCAAAAAUAAUCCUUUCCAGAUUCAAGAUUCUUUGGCACCUAUACAUGGCAAAUGGUAUUGACGAAUAUUACACCAGCCAGAAUUUAAGCAUACAAUACAAUGACUUGGAUUCAAAUCCUUGGAGAGUCGUAGGGGGACCUCAGAUUGACAAUAUGAGACUGGCAAAGGUCUGAAGAUAUCCCUCAAUGCCUCAUAGAAACCAGAGGCCUCUCGAUGCUUCAUUGAAAAAAAAAUCAUGGAUGUGAACUGCAGCCGCAAUGGUAUAAAGAACAUUCAGUUUUGUAAUAUAUAAUAGUAAGUAGUUGCUGAAAUAGCCAGGUCUAGAGUUAGAACAAGGAUGGCAGAACAUCGAGCAAUUUGACACAAGUUCACAAAAAGUAAUGAGCCUGCAGAUGGCUAAACAUCAACGGUUUCGGAAAUAACGAAACCAAAGCUUCCAAGAUCCAGAAGUCAGUGACUAUGCAAAACUCAAAGGCUAUCAUGUAACAUCUUGAGUCGACAAUGACUAGCACCCAAGGUUUGCUGUACCGUUCGGUACCGAGCGUACCGUACCCGUAUCGAUGGGUACCGGUAUCGGUACACCAAUGUCGGUACGCUUGGCGUACCGCAUACCGUACCGUACCGACACUCGGUACAUCUAUACUAGUGCGGCACCGGUAUGGGGUUCGGUACCGGUACGGCGAACCUUGCUAACACCUGUAUCUAUGAAGGUAAACUUGAAAUGUAUGUCAGCAAUUCAUUCCACAAAGGACUCAAAAGUUCCUACUAUUAAUAUGCUCUGGCUUCAGAUCACCAUUUUACAGAGAAUUUUUGAAUAUAUCUACAAAUAAUGAAUAUUUAUCUUUUUAAUCUAAUCUAGAAUGAUGCAAUGACUGCAAAACCAUCUUGAAUUCUGGAAACUAUUGACAGGAAAAUAGCUAUAAACUGCCUUUCAUUCAUUUAUUAUAGAGUUAAAUUUUCCCUUACAAAUUUUGCAAUAUAAUUUCCACCUCCGCUCCUCCAUCCGACCUUUUUAAGCAUCAAGUGUAAAAGAUUAUGUAGGCUUGCAUAUUAACCAUCUUGUUGUGACAAGAUACAAUAUAAUUCAAUAUGACAAUCCAAAAAGCUGAAUGCAAAUCACUAGCCUCAAGGUCAAGGUCAAAAGACAAUGUUUUCAUAACUGGUUGAACUAUGAAGCUCAUCGUAAGACAACCAAUUACUGCAAGCUAAUAAUUAGCCAGCAACUUUGGUGAAGUCCUGGUCUUAUGAAUUAUGAAGCUCAUUGUUUUCUUUGAAUAAUGAAUUAUAAUUAUUUACUUUAGCUAUAUCUGGCUCAAACAAGUGAUGCAGAGACUUAUCAGAUAUCAAUGAAAAAGGGUAAAUCUACAAGGACACAAAUCUAGAUCAAACAAGCAUUUAGUGGAUUAAGAACUCCGAGAUCCAAAUCCUGAUAUCACUACACUUGGGGAUCGUCGCCCAAUUUGAUAUACGUACAGCAUAUAUGUGUAUAUAAAGCAAGAUGCACACAUCUAAAUACAUGACUUCUGCAUCAGCCAUUCAUACAAAAGAAAAGGGCUGUGACAAGAUCAAGAGUCAAGUCCCAGCUAUUAGGACUGUUUCUAAGUCCUGAUACAAGAGAACGAGACUGCACAUGAUAAAGAAGCACAGCGAAGGAUCUAAAAGAAGUAUGAAACUGCUUGAGAAUGAAUUUUUUUAUUCAAUCAAACUGAGGAUACAUGCAAAUUAAAAAUUCAGAAGAAAAUGGUGAUCUUAUGCCCUGUGGUGUUCCAAAUGAUAUGUGAAAAAUUAGACCAUCAUCACACCAAUCUUUAGUCUACACAACCAAUAGCACAAGAGAAGAGCAUAAAUAAUGUGGAAUCCAGGAUCUGGUGGUGAGUUCAUGAAAUCUGAUCUUAAUUUUUACCAUAAGCUAAUAAACUGGAUCAGCCACUAAGUUUAUAUCAUUCAUGAUCAGUAUUGGAUAUCAUGAUGAUCUAUAUCACAAGCAAUAAUCAAUGAAACCAUGAACCAAGCCAGCUGGAGAUAUAACUAACAGCAGACCUAGGGGCAGUAUAAGCCUCAAUGAAAUCAGGGUAAGAUGUCAACUACCAUGAAUUGCCCACACUAGGCAAGCAGUUAGGUCUAUCAUGUACGGUAGGCAUGUCAAAGUAAUUUGCAUUUUGCAGCUAGCCAACAAUGUAAAAGGACUUAUAGUAAAUUACUUGUUAUGACAUGUUAGCCAAGUCUCAUACUAGCAGCCUGAGUCAGGCUUGUGAAAAUAAGGCCUUAAAUUGUAAAAAGCAUAGAUUCCCGUGGUAAUAUCUAAUUGAGAUUUUAAAUAAGUAUAGUUGUAUAGGAUCUUUACUCAAGUUUAAGUAUACAUAAAUUCACCAUCCAAGAUAACUAGGAAAAAUGGCACUAAUAGAGCCUGAAGAUGGUAUUCAUAAGGCUUCAAAAAAUUAAUUUUUGAGUGCCAUUCAAUAAAGUGGAAAGACAAAGAACUCAUUGUGUUUCUCAAGCAUAUCGAAUAUCUUGACUUUAAUUUGAUUGUACACUAAAUUGAGAUCCAACUUUCAAAAUUAACUUACCCUAUAUAAAUCAUUAAAUGAACCAACUAAACACCUACUUGAGUGCUAAAUUCAUCCUUUGAUCCAUCACAUUUCUGGACGAGGAUUUUUGAUGAUAAUUUCUUGUUCUAGCAAUGUUGUUUCCAUCAUUGCAUCUAAGAAGGUUGCUCCUAGAUCACCCUGUUUAUACGAAUAAAUGGGCAAGGGAGUUUGUUUGAGGUGCUUCAACAUAUAGCAGCAAGUCAGACUAGUUAUGAGUAUGAUUUAGACAAUAAAAACAAUAACAAUAAAAUAUAAAAAAAUAAAGACCUUUCAACAAAAUUUAAAAUCUGUGAAUCAUGAUCAUCUCCACAUAAUAUAAAGCAAAAAAGAGGAAAAAUGGACCCUAAGAUUAAUAUCAUUUGUUGAAUUAAGUGUCUAUAGAUAAGCUGAGACGGAGGAACCCUAGACCCUUCAAGGCAUGGAAUUCUUCUUCAAAAAUAAACUACAAAAACAACCUACAAGAGUUGACAAAAUAAAUUCACAACAACACAUCUCAGAGAAGCAGACAGAAGUCAGUCUUCAAUCGCCUUGCAAUUAAAAAAAAGGGAGAAAGUUAGAACAUUUACAUGCUGAGUCACAUCUGGCCAUGUGCAACCACCAUACCGGUGGGCUUUUCUUCCAAUAUUUUGUCAUAAAUCUUCAUACAAAGUUCACAUCUACAUGCUUUAACAUAUUUGAGUGAGAAAAGUGAUGAUCCACAACCAGGCAGUCCACUCAUAUGCUUCAGCUAAGGAAUACAGAGAUACAAACAUAGCAUAUCCAGAAACCUCAACUGGUAGCUCCUAAAGUUUUUCUCCUUCUCCCUGUAUAAUCCAUGCUCAUGGUUUCUAAUCCUCUUAUUCAAUUGUUCCAUUUUGCAUAGAUUCAUGCCACAAACUUGUCACCAUAACUGUAGCAAAAUGAGAUAUAUUUGUUUGCGCUUGCUUCAUAACAGCCAGAGCCUAGAGCAGACCAUUUCUUAGCAUGGAGUCAGCUAGUGUUCUUAGUAUAAACAUGGCAAGCCAAUCGUGAGAAUCAUAGUCAUAAACAAAACAUGUAGACAAGUAGACAUGAUAUGUACUUCUCCUUUAAGGACAUCCAGAAGCAACUCCAAAAGAGUUCUAGUACCAAUACCAUUGUGUGAUACGUUAGUUUCUCGAAGUAGGGUUUAGUAAUCUUUCAUAACUGUGUUAAUGAUUUUGCAAAAAAAGAAACCAUAAAGACUUGUUGGGAAUGAAGUACUUUGAGUUUCCACAAACUUUUAAUAAAUUAUUGUCCCAUGACUCCUCUGCAAUCCGUGUCCUAUUCAAAUGCUUCCUCAACAUGUGAAAGAAAGAUCCAUAAACUUUUUUGGAGUCUCAGAAACAACCCUGAUAUGAGUAUUUGAUAUCCUCAAAAACCAUCACUCUGAAUCUCCACCAUCAAAGCAAGAUCACACCAUUAAGAGUGUCUAGCGGCCAAACAAUGAAUCCUGGCCCCUUGCAUUGUGAGGAGAACCCUUCAGCUGCGAGAUAGUGCUUAACCCAUGUCAAACCAAUCGGAAAGAUCAUUUAGGGAAAGUCACUACUUAAAUGAGUUGUACUUCAUAUCCAAGUGCAAGUUUCCAUUCAAAUGAAACAUUGUUGUGAAAUCUAAGAAAGCCAAUCAUUUCAAAGUGAUAAUUCCUCGUAAAGAUAACACCCAAGCAAUUCUUAUUAACAAUUCACGCUAAAAGCAUUUCUUUUCCCCCAAAGGUGACUGAAAAAAUAUGCACUUCUUUCCCCCAAAGGUGAGGUUCUUAUAAAGAUUUUUUCAGUUCAGAUAAUGGGAACUAGCAAUAUGCUGCUAGAGUAUAGCAGCAAAUGAAAGGUGAAAUUUAUCUCUCUAACCUUGACUAUUGCGAGCCAUGGAUAUCAUAUUAAGCUCUAAAGUUUCAAAAGCAUAUUGCAAAACUUUCAAAGCAAAAAAUAACAAUUCCAGCUAAUAACUUCAGUACACAUCAUUAAAAGGUAACCAUCAAUUUCCAGAACACUGAAAAUCUAUUAAUAUGGAACCACAUUUCUCAGGCUAAACCAAAUGACUAAUAAAGGAUUUACAAGUAGAGAAUCCAAGAUCACAAAAUGAUGAUAGUUUUUAUCCUAAACAAGAAGCAGAAGAAGAAUAGUAGAAUAAAAAAGAAGUCCUGAGCGAGUCCUCACCAAUAAUCAGAAUAUUACAAGCAGGGAGAAGAGCAUGUAGACGAGCCAGCAAGCAUAGGCUAUGAGGCCGCGAUGCUCGUCCCCGCACAAGGCCAGCUCGACGAGAAGCCUCGUGCAGACCCUGGUAGACCAGAGAACGAAUACGGCCCCCAUGGCAAAGAUUACAAGGCCGCCAUGGGGCACGAAGAGGGAGACCGCGGAGAAAAUGACCAUGGGAAGCAUGCAGUAGCCGACAAGGCUGACACAGCGGUAGAGAUCGAGGUUGCCGUUGCGGCCGGCAAGCAUGUUGAAGACGACGUAAAGGAAGAGGGCGGCGACGGUGACCCAGCCGAGGAUGAUGCCGAAGUGGAACUUGCCGGCGAGAAGCUGGAAGAGGCCGAAGGCCAUGAGGAAGAGGAAGGGGCCGGAAAGGUCGGCGUCCUCGUGGAGGUCAGGGUUAACACGGAAGGGGUUGAGGAUGGAGGCGGUCUUGCGCCAGAUCUGGCGGGUGUUGAUGCCGAGCUCCUCGAGGAGAGGGGGCUCGUCGUCGAAGGAGGCGGCGCCGGCGGAGAGGGGACCGCCGCCGGUGGAGGCGAAGACGGGGGCGGAAAAGGAUGAGCUGGAGGGGGCGGAGCCGAUGUCGAAGGACAAGAAGGGGAGGCUGGGGUUGGAGGGGCCGGUGGCGAAGGAGGCAGCGGCCGGGCGGGAGGGCUGGAAGGGCGGCGCUGCCGGGGCGCGGCGCUGGUGGGGGGCGUUGGGGUUGCCGGCAGAGGAGGGGAAGACCACCGGGGGGACGCUGAACUCCUUCGCCAUCGGCAGCAGCGGCGGCGGCGGCGGCUUCUUCCCAAGAUCCGGAUUGAUUGGGAGAGUCGAGAAGAGGAAUUCGAGAUCGGAGAAGAUUUUAGGGUUGGAGUUCGACGGAAUUCCAAGAAAUUAGAGUUUGGAGGAGUCGAGGCCUGCGAUCGAGAUCGAGAAAAGUGAUGGAGUCAUGGAGGGUGCUUCUGGCCGUAGAAGUCUCGCCUUAGGCCUUAAGGCAACUGCUCAGGUAUCGCCAACCGAAAUUUCGGGCAUUCACCGAUAAAUCCAAAAUAUCAGCUGAGGCUGGCGAAAGAUGGGGGGAAGGGAUGAAGGGAGACUGAUAUAAUGCGACUUUAUUCUUUUGCGUUACGAUGCCGAGUAAUCCGACCGAGAAAAACCGAAAUAUCGGUUGUCUGCGUAUUUGCUACCUACCAAUAUACGGCCGAAACACUGUUCCUCAAAGCCUUGGGCAUUACCUGUCACCUCUGCGAGCAUAUACCAGGUUGAACCUUUCGAAGUCAGCAGCUUGCUUCAAUCCAAAGGCACAGACGCAGCUAAAGGCCUCUGUCAAGAAUUACUUUAGAGUUUAGAGAGCAGGAUGGGGCCUGGGACUACCUUGGGAUCCCUCUUUUCAAGAAGAGGCUACGAAGAGCGGACUGUGGUGCCAUCAAGCAAAAUAACACUGGUGAGGUCUAUGCUUAGUUCUAUCCCGAUCUUUUUUAUGUCUCAUACUGCCCUCCCAAAGUCCUCUUUAACGAAGCUUGAACAACUAUUCAGAAACUUCUUGUGGAGGAUGGGGGGUGGAGCAGACAGAGUGCAUUUGGUUGCCUAAGGAGCUAUCUGCCAACCCCUAUGUGAUGGUGGCUUGAGAGUGCAAUCCUUGAUGAUUAGACAAGAGGCCCUGCCAGGUUCUUGUUGGAGCAUGACUGCUUGUGGAGCUCUAUUGUGAGGGCCAAAUAUGGCCCAUGGACAUCACCUUUGGUAUCCAGGCCAAUCAAAAUAGUUCAUUAAUAUGGAGAGAGAUCUGUUUCUAGGCCCCUACAGUUAUAGCGAAUAUUAGAUGGUCCAUUGGUGAUGGACGAUCAGUGAAUGUGAUCGCAGAUGCUUGGAUUCGGACUUACCUCUUUUGCAAUGGCCCACCAUGGUCAAUGCUAAGGUGAGCCCAAACAUGUGAAUCUGUGAGUUGUUCGUUCUUGGGCAGAAGAGAUGAGACAUUGACCUCAUCACUCGUCUUUUUGGAGUGCGAUCAACAACGCAGAUUAUGGCCCUAUUUGAUAGAGCUAUUAGCAGUAGAACUUUCAAAAGUCGAACUUUUUGAAGUAGAGCUUUUAUAAAAAGAUAUUUAUUAUUUGGUAACUACAUUUCUAAAAUGCUGUGGAGCUUUAAUGUGUUUGGCAAACAAACUGAGAAAGUACUUAUAGCUAACAAAAUGAUCAUAAAAAAUAUUGCAUAAUAUUAUAUAAUAGAACAUAAUAAAAUAUAAUAUAUAUUAAUACAUAAAUAUAUGAUAUAGUAUAAUAUUACUGUAAUGUAAUAUAAUAUUAUUUUAAUAUAGUUAAUAUAAUAUCGUAUACUGUAGCAUAAUAAUAUAGCAUAAUUCGAUAUUAUAUAACAUAACAUAUCAAUGUAUUAUGAUAUAAUGUCAUAUAAUAUUAUAUUUAUAGUAUAAUACAAUAUUUUAAUAUAAAAUAUUAUAAUUAUUAUCAUUAUAUAUUAAAAUUUUAUUAAUAUAAUAUUUUUAGGAACUAAUUUUUGGAGAAAAAUAUAGAGGCAUGCAAUCAUACUUGCAAAAGUAAGAUUUUACGAUUCUUUUUUUUUCAAUGCUUUCUCAUUCAAAACGAUGGACAAAUAAAUGGAGGAAAGAAAUAAUAUCUUGAUCACGUAGCAAAGAAGAAAGCCAAGGCCGAUUAGGGUUUCUUAUUUGUUGAAGCUCCUAUAGAUUUUUUUCUUCAUGCAUUAUGAUAUAAAGAGACACUUUCUGCAAUUAUAUAAUUUUAUCAUGGGUAUUUUAAUCUUAAAAAAAUUAUAAAUCUAAAACAACUUUUUAAUGUGUGCUAAAAGUACUUUUCCAAAGAAACUUUAUUUUAAAGAUUCUCCCAAGUAGACAUUUUCAACUUUCUGAUAAAACUAAAACAACUUCUCGAUUUUUUACUAAACACUACUAUUUCAUCUAAAAGUUCUUUUGGAGGGUCAAAAAAUAUUUUUUGGCCCACCAAAAGCUCUGUUAAAUAGAGCCUAUAUCCUUACCUAUCUCUAGGUUCGCUACCACGAACAGGAGGGUGUGGCACUUCACUUGCAGUCCGAGAGUAAGGGCUAAGGACUUGUAUAAUAUCUACAAGGCUGAGCAUGACCGGAUAUUGGAUGGUGCUUGGAUUUGAAAGCUGGGGGUUCACCUAAGAGUGGCAUUGUUCAUUUGGAAAGUGGCAUGGGGUCGGCUGCCAUCCAAGGGAGUUCUGAGUCGGUCGAGGGAUGAGAAAAUCCUCGAACUGCGACGUUUGCCUGGUAGUGGAGUCUGUGGAUCAUAUCUUAGUUUCGGUGCCCGCAAGCACGCUAGGUUUGGGGCCUCAUCCAAAACCCCUUGACUUUCCUCCAAGCUGGGGUCCUAGUUGAGUUCUUCCUUUCCUGUCUGAGGAGGUGUAAGAAUAGACCUCACAUCGAAAGCUAGGGCAUCAGGAUUGCAUAUUUAGCCUACUACAUCUGAUUUGCCAGGAAUGGCCAAAUAUUUGAGGAUAGUACUCAGCCACAGAGAGUCACUUUGGAGAGGUCCUUCACUCAGGCUGCUAAAGUUAUUCACUCAUCCGCCAUUGGAGAGACCUUGAUAGUUCGGAACACCUGGGACCCCACCUCAGCUCACACAGCGUCCGGGAUGCAAUUCAUCUUCCCAUUAUAAGUUAUUAUUAUAGCCAUUACUCUAUUCCACAACAAUCUAGUCAAUGCAAUUGGGUCGGCCCCAUGGGGCCGAACCAAUGUAUUUUGGUCGGCCCCAUGGUCGAAGGAGUCGGUCGAGGGAUGAGAAAAUCCUCGAACUGCGACGUUUGCCUGGUAGUGGAGUCUGUGGAUCAUAUCUUGUUUCGGUGCCCGCAAGCACGCUAGGUUUGGGGCCUCAUCCAAAACCCCUUGACUUUCCUCCAAGCUGGGGUCCUAGUUGAGUUCUUCCUUUCCUGUCUGAGGAGGUGUAAGAAUAGACCUCACAUCGAAAGCUAGGGCAUCAGGAUUGCAUAUUUAGCCUACUACAUCUGAUUUGCCAGGAAUGGCCAAAUAUUUGAGGAUAGUACUCAGCCACAGAGAGUCACUUUGGAGAGGUCCUUCACUAGGAUUGAUUGAGCAAUCCUAGCCACUAUUUCAAGUAACAGGCAACAGCAGCAACAUUAAAAUCCGUGAAAACAUCGCUAUCGACAUCUUGGUCCCAUGUUAGUUCUAUAAUUAAAUAAUUGAAAAAAAGGGGGAAAACAAGCAAGGGAAGGCCUCAAGCAGAGUUAAAAGGCCAUCACCACUGCAGUAUAAUACAGCUUCAUUACUUGGUAAUCCACGAACAGUCCAUGAACAACUUGUUUUAAGCUAUUAUUGCAAAAAUAGAGGAAAAAAAAGAGAGAGAGAGAGAGAGAGAGAAAUACAUCUACCUCAAUAAAAUUUACUUAUUGGAGAAUAAGUCAGAGAAUCACCUGGCCAAUAAAUAAUAAUCGAAUAUUCAAGAUUUUUUCUCAAUAAUUCUUGAGAUGAUAGUAUUGCUGUAAAUUCAAAAUUU
Molecule: long non-coding RNA, 21865 nt
Filed under: Phoenix dactylifera (date palm)
Lineage: Eukaryota; Viridiplantae; Streptophyta; Magnoliopsida; Arecales; Arecaceae
Description: long non-coding RNA (PDAC_LNC006579)
Source: RNAcentral